RNAcentral lists this long non-coding RNA (6059 nucleotides) under Sus scrofa (pig). Its description in RNAcentral is "lncRNA (ENSSSCG00035016466.1)". Lineage: Eukaryota; Metazoa; Chordata; Mammalia; Artiodactyla; Suidae. The record is from RNAcentral.
UAUCAUAGGUAGUAUGUGAAUACACUAGAGUGUAUUCCCAAAUUAUCUUAGUGGGAUAUAGAUAUAAAUAAGACAGAUACAAUUUAAAUAAUUCUUAUAAGACAAAUACCCAGCAAACACAGUCUAAUUUUUAGUUUCCUAGUUCUAGCCUUUAGUGGCAAGUUUUCUAUAAUAGAGCAGAAUUUUAUUAUUUGUAAUCAUAUAUACACACAAAAAAACAUACAUAUAUGCGUAUACAUGUGUAAGUGUAUAUCAACAAACACAUACACAGAGGCAUACACACAAAUCUUUGUGUGUACUGUGUGUGUGUUUAUAUACACUUGUAAUUAUCCUUUUGGAUUAUGUAGAACAGUCCCCGUUCCACAUGAAUAUUUGGCAAAAUUUUCCUACAGGUUCAGGUUAGAUGAACAGAAGCAAACUGCCCGGGCAGCAAAUAUACCUCAUGGGGGAAAUACAGGUUAUUGAUAAAUGCUGCAGAACUUACGCUGACACUUUGGUUUGUUUCGUCCCAGCAAAUGAGAAGGAUGUUCUUACUUCUUAACGGAAACACUAAAGCUCUACUUCCUUAAAACUUGAUCUUUGGAUGUAGAGACGGUACUCACUUCAAUAUACAUACAGGUGGCAAAACAAACCAAAGGUCGGUGUAUAAACCUCAUGUUUCUUAGAUAGAUAAGACAAGACUGUUGAUUCCAGGAUUGGACCAGCCUUAAUAAUAAUAAUAUUAAGAUUAACACAAAUCCAUAAAAAGACGUUAUUUAAUUUCCUUUUAAGCUAUUCUCAUUCUCCUUCUUGUCCUGAUUUAACUACUUUUUCUCAGCCCUUUGUACACUGGAUAUUCUAUUUGAAAACACAAAUAAUGCCAUGCAAUAAACAUGCUAUGAUCAUUUUUAUAGUUUUUUUGUGAUUAAAUGUCCUUACCAUGAGAAGUUCUUCAUAAAACUCCAAAAGAUGAUUUUCCUGGUAUGGAAAAAUAAAUCAUUAAAAUUAGAAAUAAUGAACAUUAUAUCAUCUGAUAUGUAGGUUUCCUUUUCUGAUUUAAAUUUCUUUAACUUGGCCAUGUUUAUUCAAAUAAGACUGCUGUUAUUAUUUGAACAGUUAAAACACUUUCACAUUUAAUGCAACACUAUUGACUUAUCACCAAGUAAAAUAAGUAUACCAACUAUAAAGUAUGAAAAUCCUUAGAGAUUUUCCACUUCCACUUCUACUAUUCAUUUAACGUGUAUUGGCCUCAGUUCCCAUAUAACAUCCUAGAAUUUGAGUCAGUUGAACUAUAGCAUAUAUGAAAUUCUAAUUAUGUUCAAAGCUUAGCCAAAGUAAUUUUAACUAAUUUAAAGAAAAGUUUUAUACAUGUUAAUUUUGAGAUGAUAAUUACACACACACAUAACACACACACAAAAUAUCAAGUUGUAUUUCAUGUAUCUCAAGUUUAAAUUGGGAUUCAAAGUUAUUGAGUAAUUUGCAACUAUUUAAUUUCAAUCAAGAGUAGAACAUAUUUUUCAUUUACUUUAGUAUUCUAAACACUGAAAGCCUGAGCUCAAACAUAAGAAAGAAAACUCUAAUUUGUCACUGAGUAAUUUAAAUACUUUUAAAAGAAACUUUUGCUCAUAAAAAGUACUUGUUUCAGCACUGUUACUUUUCUCAAUCCCUACCAUGUUUUUUUUUUUUUUCUACUGUCAUCUUUUAAUUUAAAUUUGGAGUACCAACUCAGAAUUGAGCAAAAGCAAUAGAUUUCCAAAAUCAGAAGGCUGCUGUGAAUCACUUUCAAUAAGAGAAGAAAAACAAAUGAAAUACAGCCAGCAUUAGGCUCUGGAAUUGAAAUUACAAGCACUCUGAGGAAUAAUUAUAGUAUGUGGUCCAAGGAUCCUGCUGCUCAGGUCCAUUAACAUCGCAGACCCUGCUGAAUUAUGAAAAUGUUUCUAAGAUCUAACAGUUUUACAAAAAGUUGCCAAACCGAAUCCCCAAAAUAUUCCCUUGAUAAAUAAAAAGGUUAUAUAAAACUCAAUAUUUAUAUUGUAGUCUUAAGAAAAGUUUGGAACAUACAGAUAUAUUCCACAGGUUAAAAAUGGUGAAAUGUCUGGUAUUAAAAUGAACGGGCAGAGCAACUGAAAACUCAGUUAAAUAGAUCUGAUUUUAAAUUCCAUCACCAACAGAAAAUGACUCUGAUACUCCCAAAGUAAUAAAGCCCAUAGUUCUUUCUGUGCAGCUCAAGAAUGCAGAUCUGGGGCAGGUGAAAGUUACAGGAAGGUUAAUUUCAUCUUGAUAUAAGGGGGGGGGGAAUGCAUCAUAAGAUAGAGUGCUUUCAGUGACUACACACAUUUAAACAAAGGAUGGAUGGUUUCCUGUCAGCCAGUCUAGAAAGUGUUUCUGACUAGAGGUCUCCAUGCUUUUUCCCCACACUCAAGACUCAGUAAUUCUGUGCUUCUAUAACCUUUUGUAGUGACCCUGAAAGAAAAUCUAGAUGCAAACCAAAUCUGUUAAUAUACUUUAAAUAUCACGUUCCUAUUAAAUAUUUCUUUAAAAACUUCUCAUGUUCUUCAUGGAUGUAUCAUAUCCCUUACCAGUGGGUCCUCCCAUUUGGAGUUUCCUUAGGCUCAAACAUGCUUUCCCCUCUUGUUCCUCUCUAGCAAAUCCUGGGUAAGCCAUAGGUUCUCGCCACGUAUUAGCUUCUACAGGAACUCUUUCCUGUCCCUCUCCCACUAUGGAGACUGUGUUAAGUGUCCUUCAAUGUGCUUCUGUGGAACAUACCCUAUAGCUCGGCUCUUCAUAUUGUGUUGUAACUAUUUCCCUCACUAGACCAUACACUCCCAUAGGCAGUAGCUGCGAUUACAAUGAAAUACAUCGAAUAAAUUAGUCCUGUGAUAGUACCAGGUCCAGAAUAUUGGUAUGACUUGGAAAAGAUUAUUUUUUAGAUAAAUUUGAGAUAUUAUUGAAAAAAAAGCUGGUGAUGCAGAGGUUAAGCAAAUUUAUUUAAUGAAGUUCAUGACAGAGCCAUGCAAGUAUUUUUAUAUUCUGUGAAUCUACUAUUAUUAAGAGGAUAAGUGGAUGCAGAAUUUCCCAACAUUAUUUUACCUCAGAAUCUUUUUUUAUUUUUUCAUGGAGCUUCUUAUAAGUCUAGGGUUCCUCCUCAUUUAUUUUAGAGAAUGUUGAAUCAUUUCAUUCACAGUUCUCUGUAUAGUAUCUUCCACAGAAUAGACCAUAAGAAAAACUAACUAUAUUAGUUAUUAAAGUAUAAACUAAUUGCUUUUAGGUUUCCUGAUAAAUUUCACUCUAUCUACCCCAAAUUACUGUUUUUAGAUCAAAGGAACUUUGUGAUAAUCUUCUUUAUUCUGAUUGUAGGAGUCCUAUUUCUGAUAUACUUAGUUUCUCCCCUUUGAACUAAACAUCUUAGUUCCCUUUUUCCUACUUUAGUGUGAUUUCCAGAUUAUCAGAUUGACAGCAAUCUUGUUAUAAAAUUUAAGUUUACUGAUUCUGGUAUAUUAUUCUCAGCAUACUUUAAGUCAAGAUAAGAUAGAAUUUUAAUAUUCUGGAAAGAUACCAAGGUUCACUCCUGUGUUCUUUGUUGCACUCAUAUUGUUCCUAUUGCCCAGAAUGCUUUUUCUCCUUCCCUUUCCUUUUUCAAACAUUAUUUACCCUUUGUGAUAAAGUUCAAUCCUACUGCACGCCCAAUUCCCUCCCUCCUGUUCUCAGACAUAUCAUUUAAGAUUCAUAGCUAUGAUCAAAAUUCAGUUUCCUAAUUUUCUAUAUUAUUCACUGACAUUCUCUCUGCAUUUUCUGUCAUUCAAUAAGAAGUUAUAAGAACUGUGAGGGCAAGUACCUUUCUUUUUCUCUAGAACACUUUGUAAAGUGUGCACAUACAUAAAAACUACUGAUUAACUGGUUGCCUGAAAACAGUGGUACACAUUUAAAUGCAGAAUUCUAGGGCUAUAGCCUUUGUGAAUACCCUUGCUUCUUGAUAUUUAGAGGGCUAAGAAAACUGGCAGUGGGCCAGAUAGAGUCAGUUGGUAUGCAGUAUGCUUCCUGACCUUCCAAGCUUUCUCUUCACUGGGAGGGAGGGUGGUAUAGUGAAAAACCUGAAAAUGACACUUCUAGAUUUUCUUGCCCAGGUCCCUAAUUGGCUCUAUACAUGGGAAGCAAUGGUAGGAAGCUAGAAGGCAGCGGUGAAUCAAAAGUCUUUCUAUCUUCAACUCUCAAGUAGCAGAAAGGCAACUACUAGCAAAGCGUAGACUCUAGAAUUUUCAGGUACCAACAGCAAAGGUGGAUGAAACCCCACUUGAGAAGCAGUGCUGCAGCUUAGCUAUGUUGAGGAAGGAAUAGUUCCCUGACUUGAGUUAACACACACUCUUCACUCUUCCCCCUUACUACCCAUCUAUCACUUUUGUAAAUAUUUAUCUGUAUUAAAAACCUUUCUUUGAGGGCAAACCAAUGGCCAAUAAACAUAAGAAAAGCCAUCAGAGAAAUACAAAUUAUAACCAUAAUGAAAUGCCACUUAAUAAUCACCAGAGUAGCCAUUUAGAAAGUUAAGAAAUAAAAGGGAAAAAAAAAUCCAAGUCUUGAUGAAGAUGCAGAGCGACCAGAAUAAACACAGCUGGUGAAAGUGUAAACAUGGUACAACCUCUUUGGGAACUUAUUUGGCCAGUUACUCCUGAAGGUGAACAUAUGCCAUCUCUAUGACUUAGGAAUUCCAUUUCUAGGUCUAUGCUUAUUAUAAAUGUGCACACAUGUUAAAAAAAAAAAAACUGACUAGAAUGUUGAUAGUAUACUAUUUGUAACACCUGAAACCUGGAUAUUACUCAAAUCUUCAUUAACAGUAGUAAGACAACUUGAGAUACGUUCAUAUAAAGGGACACUAUGCAGCAAUAAUAAUGACUACAAUCACUGAUGUUCAGCAACAAAAAUGAAUCAUAUAAAAAUGCUGAGCUACAGAAAUCCUGCAACGCAUGCAUACUAUUUUAUCCUUUUUUAUAUAAAAUAAAACAAACAAACGUAUUCCCUGCAGUAAGAAGUUAGGAUAAUUGACUGCCUUUAAGGGAAGGGCUAGGGAUGAUCUGGUUUUUUGAUUUGGGUGCCAGAGACAGGGAUAUUCAGUUGGCAAAAACUCUUUGAGGGGUACGGAAAAGUGCAAAUACUUCCAUAUAAUGUUUCCUUAAAAGUUCUUGCUCUAUUUCAGACCAGGAUAAACUACGACUUUGUCAGGGCAUAGCUGGGAAUAAUAUUAGUCUGGAAAAACUGAAAGCAAGUACUGUAUUUAUUUCUUUUAGCUUUACAACUACGAAGCAAAGCACUAAUAAAGUUCUCUCAGAACAUCUGAUUAUAAAAGAAAUUUAAUUCUUUUGAAAAACCUAGAGUGGUUUCUGUUUUUCUGAAUUAAUGUAUCAACAUGUAGCUUUAUUUGCUUUCUAAGCUAACAUAUGGAUUUCUUAUACACUAUUUCAAAAUGAGUUUCAUCAUAAUUUACAUAAAAUAACUGAAAAUCUCAGAAAAUAUGUUAAAAAUUUCUGCCAAAAUUCAUGAAAUAUCCCAACUCAUUAAGAAAUAAUUCAAGUUUUGAAGAUAUAUAAAGAAUACUAAUGACAUUUUCACAUACAUUUUAAACACUCCACUAUCACUUCCAGAUCAUAUUUAAAUAUUUUCAUUCAUUAUCAUUAUUUUCAUGAAACCUCUCAAGUCUUUCACAAGAGUAAAUUUUUCUCCUUCCAGACAAGAAAGGGGAAUUAUUAAAUAAAGUAGAACUUUAAGGGACAUAAUUUGUUUUAUUCAACUUUCAUUAUUAAAUAAAAAUCAGGGACUCAAAUGUUUAAUGAAAAAAAUUAAACAUACAGAGGCACAUUGUCUAAGUACAAUUACAAAUGCUAUUAUAUUUCUUUAUGGGACUCCUCAUUCAUAGGGACAAGAUUUAUACAAACAACCUCAAUAAAACCUUGCAAGCCAAUUAAAGCAAGCAAUGACCCAAAUGUGUCAAUUUCUUAGCCAUUUUAGAAAGUGCUCCAGGAGAAUGGGAACCAUUAUCAUUUUAAGUGACCAAACCAAAAAAAAAAAAAAAAAAAAAAAAAAAAAAAAAA